UGCCAGCAGCCGCGGUAAUACGGAGGAUGCAAGCGUUAUCCGGAUUUAUUGGGUUUAAAGGGUGCGUAGGCGGAUGAAUAAGUCAGUGGUGAAAGCCUGCAGCUUAACUGUAGAAUUGCCAUUGAUACUGUUCGUCUUGAGUACAGCUGAGGUGGGCGGAAUAUGACAUGUAGCGGUGAAAUGCUUAGAUAUGUCAUAGAACACCGAUUGCGAAGGCAGCUCACUAAACUGUCACUGACGCUGAGGCACGAAAGCGUGGGGAGCAAACAGGAUUAGAUACCCUGGUAGUCCACGCCCUAAACUAUGAUCACUCGAUGUUGGCGAUACACUGUCAGCGUCUAAGCGAAAGCAUUAAGUGAUCCACCUGGGGAGUACGGUCGCAAGACUGAAACUCAAAGAAUGACGG
This 406-nucleotide ribosomal RNA is filed under the name uncultured bacterium. RNAcentral describes it as "bacterial SSU rRNA". It matches the Rfam family "Bacterial small subunit ribosomal RNA", at positions 506 to 916 of the family's 1533-position model. The record is from RNAcentral.